Long non-coding RNA from Falco peregrinus (peregrine falcon), 1715 nucleotides. RefSeq lists it as uncharacterized. NCBI's taxonomy places the organism in Eukaryota, Metazoa, Chordata, Aves, Falconiformes, Falconidae. The record is from RefSeq and is a predicted model, not a curated record. The transcript has 3 exons.
ACUCAGUUCAGAGUUUCAGCUCAGCUGCACACAUUUUGUGCUGUCAAAGAUGAACAACUCUCUUCCGGUGCAGAGUCUCAGCGUUACGGGCUCUGCUCGAAGGUUGCAGCUGAAACCGAGUUAGAUGUGUCUGCUGGAGGGGCAGAGAGGGAAUGACCCGUGAGGUGAGUUCUAAAAAAGCAACCCACUCUGGUAUCAGCGUGGUUGCUGCUGCAAGGUCACACAGCAAAGGAACAUUUUCUGUCCUGAAGUUUUGACUGGAAAGAUGAUACGGCUGUUUUCCAGGAUCAAGGAGCAGGAGAGAGCCAGCACCAAGAAAGAGCACCUUGGUCUGCAAAAGAGGAUGUAAAUCAGAGAUGGGGAAACAGUGGCCUCAGCUUUCUCAUACUCUUUGUCCACCACCACAAGUCUUUGGCAGAGCUCGUCUGCAGCAAGCUGACAGACUCCUGAACUCCAGUGUGCAACCUGAGCCCCUGGUCAGUGAGUAACAUGUCACCUAACUCCAUCCCUCAAAAGCCUUUUCCUCUUGGAAGCAAGUCCUAAAUUGCAAUGCAUCUGAAAUGAAAUAGUAAACUCUUUGGGCUUGUACUCUGAAGUGCUAUUGCUAUUGUAGGUGCUGCAAAAUAGAUGUUUAAUACAGUAAAAUAAUUCUUUUCAUGAGAAUUUUAUGUUAAUUUCUCCCACUUUGUUAAUAUCUACAGGAGGAUCUCUUAUCAUUGUUUUUAUAACAAUAGCCCUAUUGCUCCAUGUUUUUAUUAGGUCUAAAUUCAGUAUAAAAUGAAAGACGUUUACAGUUUCACCAUACAGAAAAUGGAAAGAAAGACUUGAAAUGAAUACAAAGAAAUGAUACAAAAUCUAGCUAAUUACUAUCAGUAACACAUGUAGGUUUGCAACAAGAAAGUAGUGCAGGAAAUAGUGAAUCAUAAAGGGGAAGAACAACUAGAUACAAUUCCCAGCAUGCAGCGUUAUGACUAUCUGAAAAACAGACAAAGGACAUUAAUGAUUUGCCACAAUAAUGUGUCUUUCCAAUGCACUGAACCCAAAAUUUUACUUAAAAAGAAACAAAAAAUUCUUCCUAAAGAUGGACCUGCAACUCUGUUCAGAUUCUUACAUUAUGCUUAAAUGAACUGACUGGCCAUAACCCAAACUAAUGUGACUGGGGAUUUAGGGAAACAUGGCAUAGUCACUCUUUGUCCUUGCCUAAACUGUGAUAAUUUGGUGCUGAAAGGACGCCUCUUGCUGUGCCUUGAAGUCCAUUGCUGUAAUGAUUCAUGAUUACAAAAUUGUUGAUUGCAACAUCUUGAAUAUUUUGUUAUGUUUAGUUCUAAAUGUCUCUGAAGUAAAGGGCAAAAGAAAGUUUUCUGUCAUCUCAUGCACUCAGGCUUCAGAUCUGUGGUAAGACAGUCCCAAACUCUUACACAAACGUACGUGCACAGUGCUGGUGAAGAAAGGCCAGGCUGGAGAGGCAAUCCCACACGUUAGGGCACAUCCAGGCUGUCAGAAGCAAGAGGCCUUUGCCAACAGGACUGUCACCAAAAUGUCUGAAAUGGUGCCAUUUCUGUGUAGACACCGGUGAUUGUAUUCGGACCGAGUGGUGCUCAUAUUUUGGUACGCAGGGGUGGGUUAUGGCAUGACCCUGGCCAUCACUAGCCAUUUUCAACCGUACCUGGGGCGCAGCGUGGUAAUGCCGGCUGAAUUUUGCCUAUUCCUCCUGA